CAGCCGCCGCGGGAAUACAGAGGGUGCAAGCGUUAGUCGGAAUUACUGGGCGUAAAGCGCGCGUAGGUGGUUCGCCAAGUUGGAUGUGAAAUCCCCGGGCUCAACCUGGGAACUGCAUCCAAAACUGGCGAGCUAGAGUAUGGUAGAGGGUGGUGGAAUUUCCUGUGUAGCGGUGAAAUGCGUAGAUAUAGGAAGGAACAUCAGUGGCGAAGGCGACCACCUGGACUGAUACUGACACUGAGGUGCGAAAGCGUGGGGAGCAAACAGGAUUAGAUACCCGAGUAGUCCCUGUCUCUUAUAC
This 301-nucleotide ribosomal RNA is filed under the name uncultured bacterium. RNAcentral describes it as "partial 16S ribosomal RNA". It matches the Rfam family "Bacterial small subunit ribosomal RNA", at positions 509 to 807 of the family's 1533-position model. The record is from RNAcentral.